GUCUAUGGCCAUAAACUCUGAAUGUGCCCCGUCUCAUCAGAAUUCAGAGAUUAAGCAGAGUCUGGCCUGGUUAGUACUUGGGUGGGAGACUGGGAGCUGAAGGCA
Molecule: ribosomal RNA, 105 nt
Filed under: Callithrix jacchus (white-tufted-ear marmoset)
Lineage: Eukaryota; Metazoa; Chordata; Mammalia; Primates; Cebidae
Source: RNAcentral